GUAUAGAAGGAUAACGGAGGAUAUUUUAUCCAAACUAUCAUUUUCUCCAUGGAAAAGAAAAAGGGAAAUAGGAAGAAAAACUGUUGCUUUUUUUGCCAGAAUACAUUUUUAAAUAUUGCCCGCCAUCUGGAAAAUCAACACGGUGACGAAGAUGAAGUCAUUAAAUUUACGCCUCUUCCAAAAGGUUCUAAAGAAAGACGAAAAAUUAUUGACUUGAUAAGAAAAAAAGGCAACUACGAAAAUAAUACAUAUGAAAACGAUAUCAUUCCAGUUCGACGGGCACAAGAAGGUAAAAAUCCGAGAUUAAUACCGUGUCCCAGAUGCAGGGGUUAUUAUUCCAAAUGUUCUCUCAGGAAACAUUUCCCUAACUGUCAACAAGAGGGAUACAAACAGAAAAACAAUAGACUUGGUAUAAUCUUAGGUCGCAGAAUUAACAACGAUAUACACUGUACG
Molecule: long non-coding RNA, 453 nt
Organism: Zophobas morio
Lineage: Eukaryota; Metazoa; Arthropoda; Insecta; Coleoptera; Tenebrionidae
Exons: 3
Source: RefSeq, a predicted model, not a curated record